AAGUCACGGCUAACUACGUGCCAGCAGCCGCGGUAAUACGUAGGUGGCAAGCGUUGUCCGGAUUUAUUGGGCGUAAAGCGAGUGCAGGCGGUUUUUUAAGUCUGAUGUGAAAGCCUUCGGCUUAACCGAAGAAGUGCAUCGGAAACUGGGAAACUUGAGUGCAGAAGAGGAGAGUGGAACUCCAUGUGUAGCGGUGAAAUGCGUAGAUAUAUGGAAGAACACCAGUGGCGAAGGCGGCUCUCUGGUCUGUAACUGACGCUGAGGCUCGAAAGCGUGGGUAGCAAACAGGAUUAGAUACCCUGGUAGUCCACGCCGUAAACGAUGAAUACUAAGUGUUGGGGGGUUUCCGCCCCUCAGUGCUGCAGCUAACGCAUUAAGUAUUCCGCCUGGGGAGUACGACCGCAAGGUUGAAACUCAAAGGAAUUGACGGGGGCCCGCACAAGCGGUGGAGCAUGCGGUUUAAUUCGAAGCAACGCGAAGAACCUUACCAGGUCUUGACAUCUUCUGCCAAGCUGAGAGAUCAGCCGUUCCCUUCGGGGACAGAAUGACAGGUGGUGCAUGGUUGUCGUCAGCUCGUGUCGUGAGAUGUUGGGUUAAGUCCCGCAACGAGCGCAACCCUUAUGAUUAGUUGCCAGCAUUCAGUUGGGCACUCUAGUCAGACUGCCGGUGAUAAACCGGAGGAAGGCGGGGAUGACGUCAAAUCAUCAUGCCCCUUAUGACCUGGGCUACACACGUGCUACAAUGGGUGAUACAACGAGCAGCGAGACCGCGAGGUCAAGCGAAUCUCUAAAAACCAUCCUCAGUUCGGAUUGUAGGCUGCAACUCGCCUGCAUGAAGCUGGAAUCGCUAGUAAUCGCGGAUCAGCACGCCGCGGUGAAUACGUUCCCGGGCCUUGUACACACCGCCCGUCACACCAUGAGAGUUUGUAACACCCAAAGCCGGUAGGACAACCGCAAGGAGUCAGCCGUCUAAGGUGGGACAAAUGGUUAGGGUGAAGUCGUAACAAGGUAGCCGUAGGAGAACCUGCGGCUGGAUCACCUCCUUUCUAA
This 1049-nucleotide ribosomal RNA is filed under the name uncultured bacterium. Its description in RNAcentral is "bacterial SSU rRNA". It matches the Rfam family "Bacterial small subunit ribosomal RNA", at positions 488 to 1533 of the family's 1533-position model. The record is from RNAcentral.